This 467-nucleotide ribosomal RNA is filed under the name uncultured bacterium. RNAcentral describes it as "partial 16S ribosomal RNA". It matches the Rfam family "Bacterial small subunit ribosomal RNA", at positions 28 to 507 of the family's 1533-position model. The record is from RNAcentral.
GACGAACGCUGGCGGCGUGCUUAACACAUGCAAGUCGAACGGAAAGGCUCCAGCUUGCUGGAGUACUCGAGUGGCGAACGGGUGAGUAACACGUGGGUAAUCUGCCCUGCACUCUGGGAUAAGCCUGGGAAACUGGGUCUAAUACUGGAUAUGACCUUUCUCCUUAUGGGGUUUGGUGGAAAGUUUUUCGGUGUAGGAUGAGCCCGCGGCCUAUCAGCUUGUUGGUGGGGUGAUGGCCUACCAAGGCGACGACGGGUAGCCGGCCUAAGAGGGUGAUCGGCCACAUUGGGACUGAGAUACGGCCCAGACUCCUACGGGAGGCAGCAGUGGGGAAUAUUGCACAAUGGGCGGAAGCCUGAUGCAGCGACGCCGCGUGAGGGAUGACGGCCUUCGGGUUGUAAACCUCUUUCAGCAGGGACGAAGCGUAAGUGACGGUACCUGCAGAAGAAGCACCGGCUAACUAUGUG